GGCAAGAUGGCCGAGCGGUCUAAGGCGCUAGCUUCAGGUGCUAGUCUAGAAAUAGGCGAGGGAGGGUUCGAAUCCCUCUCUUGUCA
RNAcentral lists this transfer RNA (86 nucleotides) under Colletotrichum fructicola Nara gc5. RNAcentral describes it as "tRNA-Leu for anticodon CAG". It matches the Rfam family "tRNA". From Rfam's summary of the family: Transfer RNA (tRNA) molecules are approximately 80 nucleotides in length. Their secondary structure includes four short double-helical elements and three loops (D, anti-codon, and T loops). Lineage: Eukaryota; Fungi; Ascomycota; Sordariomycetes; Glomerellales; Glomerellaceae. The record is from RNAcentral.